Molecule: long non-coding RNA, 527 nt
Organism: Carassius gibelio (silver crucian carp)
Lineage: Eukaryota; Metazoa; Chordata; Actinopteri; Cypriniformes; Cyprinidae
Exons: 3
Source: RefSeq, a predicted model, not a curated record
UAUAUUUAUUGUAAUUAUUAAUAAUUCUAGUUAGAGUGAAAUUUUGUUUUAUGCCGCAGUUGCUUCGCAGCUCCUCGUAGAAGAGCCCCAGUGUUCAGACUCUGCAUCAAAGAGCUAUCGCACAAAAGUCUUGCAAAGACUACAAGAAAUUGUUGAGAACCAGCAAGACAUCCUUGCCAUGCAAAGGCAGUUACUGGCUGCAGUAGCUGUGACCAUGACAGAGGAAGAUGGGUUUUUUUCUGUAAAAUGGGCCAUGCCAAACAGUGGAGGAUCUGCAGACCCUUGACAGGGAUUUGGAAAAUAAAGACAAAAGGGCCAAGAUGAUGAAUUACCUUCCGUCCCUUGGAGGAGCAAACCCAGGUGCAACCUUGCGAAAAAUAUUGCGCAAGGUUGCAUCAAAUGAGGUCUUAGGUGUCUACAGCCUCAAAGGGAAAAAAGGCUAACUACCCUUCCAAAACCUGAAUCUAUGCAACAUGAUCAUAGGCAAGUUAUAAGUCUUUUUCUAUAGUUCUAGCCAAUUUUUUUUC